Molecule: long non-coding RNA, 8254 nt
Filed under: Canis lupus familiaris (dog)
Lineage: Eukaryota; Metazoa; Chordata; Mammalia; Carnivora; Canidae
Description: lncRNA (ENSCAFG00845005465.1)
Source: RNAcentral
UUUUUUUUUUUUUUUUAGAAAUCAGAACUUUCUAAGGCACAGAAAGCUCAUCAGGUCUUAACUUUCAUAGGAUUCUGUUCCAAUGAUGUGGCUGUAUCACCUAAGUGGACACAACAGCCAGAGUUUGCUAUUAUAUGCUCAAGGCCCCCUAUUCACUAAUAAGGUUAAUCAAGACAAAGUUAACUGUCCAAAGUUUCUUGUAAGGGAGGAAAACAACACAACAGAGGGGACUCAGCAGCUGCCUACUUUCCUUUCUAUUCCCUGGCCUUUCUGAGGCCAACAAAAAGGACAAACCCUAAUCUUGUGCAAUUCCCACACAUGAACUGUGCUGUUUUGGACUAAUGCAGGUUUCUUUUAUCUUUACUGGCUUUGAGGAGACAUCAAAUUUUCUUCUGGAUGAGCUCUGUGGCUCUACGUAGCCAGCAGGCUUAGGCUUGAGGCCCAGAGCACCCUGGAGGCCACAUGUGGUUUCAUCUGGACAAAUACUUUCAAACAAAUUCCUUGGCUUUUCAUCAAAAUUUCUGAGAUGACAGGCAGUUGCCACCCACGUAGUAAUAUGAUGUACAGCCCUAAACCGAGUGCCUUACAGGGUAUGGGUGGUAUAAACAAGUGAGACUGGUGAAAUUAUAACAUUAUUAAUUAUAACAUUAUCUUAGAUUUUGGAUUGCCAACUUACUAUAACAUUAAACUACUGUAGUUCUUUUGUAAUGCACCCAAAGCUUUAAAAAAAAAAUCUCCUUGACACACCCUUUAGAGAAUUAAAAUACAGUAGUAAAGCCUAAAAGACUCUGCCUAAGUAUAUUUUAUAACAUAAAAAGUAAAAUAAAGAAUGUGCCAAGAUUCUAAGUGUUCACAAUUUCUAGUUACUCCAGUAUGAGCCAAGAAAUUGAUGACAAUUGACCUUGUGCUUUUAAAAAUUAAAUGAAAUGGAGAAUUCUAAAAAAGUAAAAUGUAAGCCAAGGGCCUUCAGCAGAACAUGCUCUUUGUAAAAGAUACAUUUAUUCUAUCAUCAUUUAGUCUUAUGUUUCUAGUAUUCUCUCAGAAGCUUAAGUAUAUUUUAAGCAAUUACAUGGCAUUGAUUUAGCAUCUGGUAUUGGGGGAUUUUUUUAGACUGAGGUAUUUUUCACGGAAAUUCAGUUCAGUUCAAUUAUAAUGAGUGUUUAGAUUGAAAUAUGUUUUUAAUGAUUUAUUUAUUUGUUUUAGAGAGAUAAAUCACACAUGUGAGUGGGGGGGAGGGAUAGAAGGAGAGCGAGAGAGAGAAAGAGUCUCAAGCAAGCUCCCCACUGAGUGUGGAGCCCAACACGGGACCCUGUCUCAGGACCUUCAGAUCAUGACCUGAGCCAAAAAUCAAGAGUUGGAUGUUCAACUGACUGAGCCACCCAGGCACUCCUAGAUUGAUAUUUUAUCAUUAAGAUCCUUUUAAUACACACAUUGAGACUAAUUUUCUUAAAAUAGAUUUUAAAAACUGUUUUAAAUUAUUAGAUUCUUUUAAAAGUCAUUUCAGAUUUCAUGUGUGCUAUAUAGUUUAUUCAAAUGUUUAAGAGAAAACUAAAUCUAAAAUUAUUAUAUUUGCUAACCAAUAUUUUUCUUAGGAUCUUCUGUGGUAUGACCUUUCACCACCCCCUCCACCUCACAUAUUGAACUUUUGCUUUUCUAUUGUGUGUCUUCAAGAUCACAUUUUCCUUCUUCAUCCUUCUCCUAUGCCCAUGUCUUAUUAAACUUAAGAUGUCAUUGUAGAUAUAUCAUUUCAGGUACCAUUAAGAAAAAAAAAAUCUUAACAAACUGUCACAAUCCUUUCUUAUCACUUAGAAUUUUUUAAAAGAUUUUAUUAUUUAUUCAUGAGAAACACAGAGAGGCAGUGACAUAGGCAGAGGGAGAAGCAGCUCCCCGCAGGGAGUCUGAUGCAGAACUCUAUCCCAGGACCCUGGGAUCAUGCCCUGAGCCAAAGACAGACACUCAACCUCUGAGCCACCCAGGCAUCUCUCACUUAGAAUUUUUAUUUUAUAUGAUUUUCAAGCCCUUUUCAACUUAAGAUGCAGAUUUCUUCAUGUAUUUUUAUGUGAAAUAAAAAGAUUAAAGUUAAAGUAAUCCUAAAAUGUCUUUACAUUCAGAGCUAGACUCAAACCCAGCUCAUUGUGGAGGCAUUCAUAACUCUAACCCCACUCAAAACUUCCCAUUGCCCACAGAACCCUAUGUGGUGUUCUGUCACAUUUGCUCUCUUUUUCAGAAUAAAUUCUUAUGAACCAUGCUGUAAGACUCCUCUUUGAUAUUGCUUGGCACAGCUUUCCACAAAGAGUUGGGGUGAUGCCCUUCUGAGAAAUUAGAGCAAAAUUAAAAAAAAAAGGAAUAGGCACCAAAGUGCCUAUUUUGAUGGCUUACUGAACAAAUCUAGUUUGAUCAUUGGAUGUACAAAAAUUUUCCUUAUAUUAUAGUCCUUAUCCUCCCCCUCCAACAUCAACCUAUGAAAUCCACAGCCUGUUGGAUUUCAUUCCCAACUGAUGCUCAAUUGGUGUAGCUUAGAUAUUUGUGUGGAAAUUUACUAAUGUGACUCCCCUUCCAUCUAAUGGGGAAAAAGUUUUGUUCCUAUGGUAACUUUCAGACCAGUGCAUACUUACUAUACUUCUAAAAUAUGCAGCCCAUCCUUAUGGGAAUACACAUCAUCUUGAAAAACUUUUUUCACCCCUUCAAUAAGCAUUGAUUUUUUAAAAUUUUCACCUGAUUUCUGAAUAAAAUAAGGCUUUGUUUGUAAGAAUUGUUAAGGAAGAGCUUCAGGAAAUAUGAACCAUGGAUGAGCCUGACCCCUGGCAGCUGUCAUGAAAGAGCAGAGACACAGUCCUCAAGUGAUUUCUGGGAACACAUGACCAGUCAGUCCAUCGCUGUAUUUCUCCCAGACUCUUUCUAUUUUCCAUGCAUCAUCAUGUUUGCUGUAUUUGAGAUGUUGCUAAGCAAAACGAUAUAAAAGAGUGUUUUUUUUUCCUAAGGCAAUUAAGUUUAGCAAAUGCUACUCUAAAAUGAUGCAGAAGUUCCUUAGAAAAAUUUUAGAACUCCUUGGGUAGUGAUCUAAGAAUGCUCAUGAUAAGAAAGGAUAAAUGUAAAUAAUGAACUAAAAUGUCAUUCCACAGGAUAAAAUUUAUCAGUUCCAAGGACUUUGUAACUAUUGACAUCACUUAAGCCACAGUUUUGAAAAAUGUUCUCUGAAUUUUGCAAACAAAAGGCCCUCCUGAUCUUUUUCUUCAAAUUCAUUGGCCUCUAUGAAUUUUUCCCUUUAAAAAUUAUAUACUGCAACCUUACUUUAGCAAAAAAAAAAAAAAAAGAAAGAAAUAAAGAGAAGAAAAUACCAAAAUUACAACUUAAGCAUUUGUUAGAAAAGUUUGCACUGUGGUCUCCUUUUCAUCUUAUCUUUCUUUUGUCAAGUUUUCUUCAGAGCUCACUCUCAGAACGAGAGAUCUAUGGAUUCUAUAGUUCUGUGAUAAACUUUUAGAAGAGGAGUUAUAAAGCAUGUUCAUAGUAUCUCAAGCACAUAAUCCUCAUCCUCAGCAAACAUGUCCUCUAUAGAGUUUAAAAUGGUGAAUCUUCAUGACUAAAGGGGAGGAAUGAGCUUACCUAAGGGUUGGCAGCAUCCAUCUUGCUACUUAUAUAAAGAAGCCAAAAUGCAAUGGGUUGGGAGAGUAAAGAGUGAGCGAUUACACUUUUGGGUCUCCAAAGGUAGCACUAUCUGUGUGCAGGUCAACCCAGAGUAAGAUACAGGGUUUCUAGAUGAUACUAUGGGUUUCCAAACAAUCUGCCUGUCCUCCUUAACAUGCUGCAGUGUCUGAGAUUCCACCAUCAAGUCUCAUCAGGUCCUUUGGAAUUAGAUUAUCCAAAUAGGUAGAAGGGCCCCAAUUGAAGGAGUCAAAAGGCACAUAAGGAAAUAGGAGCAGCAUAAGGGGCUGAAAAGAAGCCACGGGCAUAGAGUGAUGCUGUUCAAGGCAGGUCUAGGGGGCAGGACCGUGGGAGGAGCUUGGAGAGCAAAGGAUAUUAUGAAGGACAUUAGCUGCUUGAGGACUGAAGGAGUGUGGGCAUCUUUAAAAGGAGAUUGCUGAAAGACCUAGAAGGUUUUCCUGCUUGCUAAAUUUGCCUUGCAAGAUAGCAAAUUUGUGCAGUCUUGUACCUCAUGGGAGGAGGACCUCUACGUGGCUAGGCUUCCACUUUGUUUGCCUUGUUCGUCUGGCCUGGAUGAAGAUUGUUGUCAGAGAACAAGGAAACAGAAUUCUCUUUCCUCUUGGGCCUGGGAAAACCCCACUCCCUGUAUGGGGAUCAGAAGGAAGAAGGAAUGGUACAGUAUAAGAUCUUACUUGCCAAUAGGCUUUUAAAAAGUCUACCAGGUGAUGACAUUUUCCACCAACAUUUUCCACUCUUUUGGUGUCCCAAUGAUGAUUUUGCUGAUAACCAGAAAUACUAGAAGCCUAGUUUAUGGAACUCUGUUAAUAUCUUUUUUUAAAAAUUAUGCAUUGCUUUACUACUUCUUUUUAUCUUUAGGAUGACUAAUUUCAUCCAGUCUUGGGUGUGUUAAGCCAAAAUUAUUUGGUCAAAAUUAAAUAUACAUAUGUAUGUAUAUGUAUAAAUAUACUAAAUAAUUAUAUUUUUUACACACCUAUGUACAUAGAGGUGUCACUACUAUCCAAGUAAGGACAUAAAGAAAGGUCAGGAUCACAGUGAGACUGCUGGAAAGUCUCUUGAAGAAUUUUUAUUCAAGGAUCUAAAUACUGAAUUACCCAAAAAGUAACACAGUGAGAAAUACUAGGGUUUUACUGAAUGAGAAAAAAAAUACAAUCCGUGAUUUUUUCCUACCCUACCUCAGUGGUGAGUAUUCAGCUCAUUUGGAAGGAUAUUCUCAUUUGUAAGAUCCAAAGCCUUUCAUCAUUUCUGAGCAUGACGUCCAUUAAAGGCAGGCCAGGUGGUGCCAGCUGCACUUGCUGAAAGAAAUCACACGGUUUCAUUAUGUAGAGUAAUGACAGAAGAAUGGGUAGUUCAGACCAGCUGGAUCCAUCUCUGCCACGUUCUCAGUGUGUGUGGGCAUACAUACACACAUGCUCGCACAUACACAUACUCCAGAAAAAAAAGACUCAGAAGUUCUGAAUUUCUGGAGGCAGAAAUUCCUGGUGCCUGUGGAAUCUGGUAUCUUCUGGUCUGGUAUGAUGAGCAAAGCAGUGGCUCUUGCUCAUCGUGGAGACUAAAUCUGCUCAUUAAAUUAAGUAAAAACUAACUAAAUUAUUAUAUGACUUAUAACAUAAGCCAUGCAUAGCCAAUAACAUGAGACACAGCUAUUGCCACAUUUUCUUCUCUGUUACAGUAAUAAUAUCAAAUAUAUACAGUAGUUAUAGAGUCUGUAUUGUUCUAAUUGCUUAACUUAAACUCACUGACUCCUCAUAAUAAUCUUCUGGUGUAAGGAUGAUUACCACCUUCCUUUACCAAUAGGGAAACUGAGGCACGAUUAGUUAGGUUAUUGUUCAAGAUCCCGCCAUUAAUGGUUGGUACUGGAAGUGUUGAUCGAACAGUGUGGGUGUCCAUAAAUAAAGGCAUAUAUUCGGGCACCUGAAGUACAUCUUACAAAGAUUUCAAUUCAUCUCUAGCAUCCUUUGUGUACCAUAUUCCAUUCACUUCAAGCCUAUCUGUGUGGAGUGACACAUUCUAACAGAAAGAGGGAGAUUGCAUAAUGGAAAAGGCGUCCGGGAACCAGGUUGGCAGCAUAGGCUGCUCAGUUGACCCUGGAAAGUGACUCAGAGGAAGGUGUUUCUGGUGUCCAGAAAAAGCCUUAUGGCACUGAGAGGAAGGAUGAAAGGAAACCAGUGAGUGUUAUGGUCCCCGAGAGUGUAGGCAUUGCUUUCAAAUUUAGUAAGAAAGUUGCACAUACCAAAUAUAAUGGGGUCUCUCCUUUAUUAGCCACAUUAGUAUUAAGGCCUUUUCAUAUACUUCAUUUAAAACGUUUUUUUCUUUUGAAUACAGUUGACACACAACAUUAUAUUAGUUGCAGGUAUACAACAUAGUGAUUCAACUAUUCUAUACAUGAUGCUGUGCUCACCACAAGUGUGUAACACCAUACAGUGUUAUUACAAUAUCACUGACUACAUUACCUAUGUUUGUACAUAUUUCAUUUUUCUUCUCCAAUUACAAGGGUGACAUAAAUGCCUAUAUGGGAAAUUCUGUAAAAGUCAUGUUCAAGUUUCUUUUUCUAUUUUCCAGACCUACCUGGAGGUUUUAUUUCAUACUCCUUUUGGAGAGUGUUUGAAAUUUAUUCUUCUGGAGGAAGACUAAAUCUGAAUAUAUUCUGUAAACCCUUCAUCUGAAGUUCAGAUCACUGGAAGAUCAGUCAUCUUCCAAGUUAUAUAGUCCCCAUUAAAUGCAAGAAAUGAGACUAUGUUUCGGGGGGUUGUGUGGUUGCAGAAUUAGUUUCAUUAUUUUGUAUUUGAUGUACUCAUAUAUAAAGCCAUUAAGUGCAGCAAAUUUAUGGGCUUGUGGCCUGCCAGUGGCCAUGUAGCUCAUUAGUGAAUGAGGAAGGAGAUUAAAUCAGUAAUGUUCCAGAAGAAAACCCAAAAUAUAAAAGGUAGGGGGCAGUAGUAAAAUUAAAACUUAGUGAGAUGGGUCUGAGUACCCCUCAGUGAAAGUAUCCUGACAAUACACCAGGCACACUCUACAAGGAAUCCUUGCUGGUCUGGAUGACUUGCAAUAUUCCUCCUGCCCCAGCUCUAGGAGGUUAUUAAUUCAUUUCACAGAAAACUAAAUUUUUUAUAUGCAUAGACAUCUAAGCAUUUGGACAUUUAAUGAAACCAUUUCAAAUAAUAAGAAAUUAAAAUACAGCCCUGUAAUUUUUUUGAAGCAUGUGAACUUGGUUUUCUAAAAACCCAAGAGAUUGUGAUGAGCUUUCCGUAGUGCUGGGGCUCAGAAUUGGGGCUGAGCAAGUAGGCAAGGGCUGUGGUUCCUGAGGCCUGGUCAUGUCCAAGGAACAGACAUGGUAGAGAGAAAGGAAAGGGAGGGAGGAAAAUUAAAAUAACAUGAAUGAUGGUGAUCAUGAUGCUAAAGUAAUCAUCACACCAAUCACAUCAGUUAAUCAUGGAAGUUCUCAUUUUUUACAAGAGGAACUGAGUCUCAGGCUCUUGAACCCCAGGGUCACUUAAAUUGGCAGAAGCAGGACACAGAUUUCAGAGCUAUGACUCUUAAUUCUCCUGAUUGCCUGUGAGAUCAGGUGGGCUCACCUAUGCAGUGGCUUGCUCAGCCCAGUAUGCACAGCUCUCUAUAAAAGACAGGUCUAAAAAGGGAAGAUCACUUCCGAAUUCUGCUGUAAGCCUCAUGAAUUUAAAAUGUCAGUACUUUGGGGGGUGCCUGGGUGGCUCAGUCGGGUAAUCAUCUGCCUUCAGCUCAGGUCAUGAUCCCAGGGUCCUGGGAUGGAGCCCCUUGUUGGGUCCCCUGCUCAGUGGGGAAUCUGCUUCUCUGUCUGCUCCUCCCUCUGCCCGUUUUCUCUUUCUCUCUCCCUCUCUCUCUCCCUCUCUCGCUCUCUUUCUCUGUCAAAUAAUUAAACGAAAUCUUAAAAAAAAACCCCAAAAUAUCAGUACUUUGGGCAGUCUAAAGUAUAUUGCACAUCAGCCUCCUCCAGACUCACCUUUCUUUAUAUUAAAUGGAAAGAAUAUUAAUGAACCUUAGAGGUCUAUUAAAUAUUAUAAACUCAAUUCCCUAUUUUGAUGGACCAGGAGAAAAUGAAAAAUGAUUGAGUCAUUAAGAAAAAGACAGUGUAAAAAAAUAAUAAAAUAAAUAAAAUAAAAAUAAAAAAAGAAAAACACAGUGUAGAAGUCAAGUUUGGUUUUGCUUUGUGACCCGAACUUUGUUUUGUUUUUCUCUAUGUUUGAAACAUAGUGUUUUCUUUAUGUUUGGUUGUAUUUCUCUAUUCCAGGAAGCAUGAAAAAAAGAAAACCUUCCUUCAGACUUUUCUAGUAUUAUUCCAUAGCCAAGAGGACUAUUACUGUUUAUGGGUCUAUUGGCUAUUGGCUAAAGUUUCCUUUACCUAAGAGUUGUCACUCUAGGACAGUGAUUCUUAACUGGAAAUGACUUUGCCCCCAGUCCCUAGGAGGGAUAUUUGUUAAUCUCUAGAGACUUUUAUUUUUUUUAAUUGAGAGCAUGUGCUCACACUUGGGGUGGGGUAGGAGAAGAGGGGCAGAGGAAGAGAGAAAGAUCUCAAGCAGCUAUGCCCAGCUCCCUAUGUGGAGCUUAAUCUCAUGACCUG